GCGUGUGGAAGGCUAAUUAAACCAAAGCAUUUCUUUACACGUAUUUUUGAGUCAGAGUCAGGGUAGACGUCCGCCCGUUUGCAUUUAAAGUGAAGGUUAAUUUUGAAUUAAGCAGCUUUAGUUUUUGGGUAUUGCUUUUGCCUUUUUUAAAUUGGCUGAGGUGUGUUGCAAUUCCUUUUUAGCCCUGCAUGAUUUAUAUUUAUGUAUGUGUAUAUAUAAUAGUAUUUUUUCCAAAAGUUGUUUUUUCUUUCGGAAAGCCAUUCUUGGGCUAUGCUUGUCUUGCUGUCGUCCAGUUGGAUAGACUUAUUCUAGAAUAUUGUUGUCCGCCCGGAGCUCCCUUAGCUCUUUGCUCUCAUCAAGUGAUGCCCCCUUUCUUCUUGAAAGUCCUAUACAUUCUAAAGCCUUAUACUGGUGAUAAAAUAAGCAUCAAACUGCUGGAUUCUGAAAGGCCUGCAUCUCCCAAUGUUAAGACUCAGAUGUCGUUAAUCUAGAGUUGGCAUGAUGUUCUCAAUCACGAGGUCCGAUUUGGUUGAGUAUCUCGUAUGCAUGAAAUAUUGUUUUCAUUUUUGUACUGCAAAAAAAGUAGUCCUAAUACAUGGUAUUCUGGUAAGAAAUAACUGGAGACUUCUUUGCCUUUUUGAUAUUGUUUACACGAGUGGUGACGUAAGUAACCGCACUAAUGCACCUUCACCCCUGUUAUGGAACAUGUUGUCCAGCAAUGUGCAAUUCAUAUUGUAAUUUGAAAUAACUUGCACUUAUAGAGGAACUAACGUCUCUGAUUAUUUUCACUUUCCUGUCUUUGGGUUGAACAGAGGAUUCCUAUGAAAUCUCCAGUGGGGUUUAUUCACUAAAGCAGGAGAAUAAAAGAUUUUCAAUAUCUGACUUAAUAAUGUGUUCUAAAGGGAAAACCCCAACCAAUCUCUCCUGUUACAAGGGCUAAACAGAUCAUGUAUGAUGUAAAGUUAAUCGUUUUGGUGACAUUCAAGUAAUAUCAUUGAUCAGGGCUAACCAAACGUUUCUUGCAGGAGACGCUCAAUGGAGUUGGUCCUUUAUAAUGCAUGGUGACGUCAGGGAGUGGAAAUGUUUAAGAUUUGUAAAAGUUCCUCUUUAAGUGAAUACACACGUUGUAGGAUCAUGAGGAGUAAAUCCAUGUAUUUAUGUCAGGGGCGACUGUUCCUCAUUAACUCUAUAUUACCUAGAUGAACUGGAAUGUUAAUGCUGACAAUUACAAUUUAGUGGCAAUUCGAACUAUACUGGAAGAGUACAUUUCAAUACCCUGACACUAAAGGGGUUAAUGUACCUGUUUUAUUGAAAAAUCUUGAAUAUACAUUAAAGAUCUGUACGUUUUACUGUUUUGUCAUUCUGUCUGUAUGGUAUGCUUUAUUUCUAUUUGUUUUUUUUGUGUGUGUGCAGCUUAAACUUUGCAAAACACUUGAAAUAUAAAUUUUAUAUUUUUGUUUUCGCCUUCCAAAAAAUUAAAGGAAAAUAAAUAUCUACAAAAAGGUAUGUUA
Long non-coding RNA from Spea bombifrons (plains spadefoot toad), 1511 nucleotides. RefSeq lists it as uncharacterized. The record is from RefSeq and is a predicted model, not a curated record. The transcript has 2 exons. Lineage: Eukaryota; Metazoa; Chordata; Amphibia; Anura; Pelobatidae.